UGUGGUUGAAUUUACAACGUCAAAUUGCAAAUUUGAAGGUGUGCGUGAAAUAGCUCUAGAGCUU
RNAcentral lists this transfer RNA (64 nucleotides) under Haliotis tuberculata ssp. AVW-2009. RNAcentral describes it as "tRNA-Cys". Lineage: Eukaryota; Metazoa; Mollusca; Gastropoda; Lepetellida; Haliotidae. The record is from RNAcentral.